GGAAUCUUCCACAAUGGGCGAAAGCCUGACGGAGCAACGCCGCGUGUGUGAUGAAGGGUUUCGGCUCGUAAAACACUGUUGUAAGAGAAGAAUGACAUUGAGAGUAACUGUUCAAUGUGUGACGGUAUCUUACCAGAAAGGAACGGCUAAAUACGUGCCAC
This 161-nucleotide ribosomal RNA is filed under the name uncultured bacterium. Its description in RNAcentral is "partial 16S rRNA". It matches the Rfam family "Bacterial small subunit ribosomal RNA", at positions 358 to 511 of the family's 1533-position model. The record is from RNAcentral.